UGGGGAAUUUUGGACAAUGGGCGAAAGCCUGAUGCAGCCAUGCCGCGUGUGUGAAGAAGGCCUUCGGGUUGUAAAGCACUUUCAGCGAGGAGGAAGGUGGUGAGCUUAAUACGCUCAUCAAUCGACGUUACUCGCAGAAGAAGCACCGGCUAACUCCGUGCCAGCAGCCGCGGUAAUACGGAGGGGUGCAAGCGUUAAUCGGAAUUACUGGGCGUAAAGCGCACGCAGGCGGUUUGUUAAGUCAGAUGUGAAAUCCCCGGGCUCAACCUGGGAACUGCAUUUGAAACUGGCAAGCUAGAGUCUCGUAGAGGGGGGUAGAAUUCCAGGUGUAGCGGUGAAAUGCGUAGAGAUCUGGGGGAAUACCGGUGGCGAAGGCGGCCCCCUGGACGAAGACUGACGCUCAGGUGCGAAAAGGCGUGGGGGAGCAAACAGGAUUAGAUACCCUGGUAGUCCACGCUGUAAACGAUGUCGAUUUGGAGGUUGUGCCCCUUGAGGCGUGGCUUCCGGAGCUAACGCGUUAAAUCGACCGCCUGGGGGAGUACGGCCGCAAGGUUAAAAACUU
Molecule: ribosomal RNA, 562 nt
Filed under: uncultured bacterium
Lineage: Bacteria
Description: partial 16S ribosomal RNA
Rfam family: Bacterial small subunit ribosomal RNA
Source: RNAcentral